Glossina fuscipes is the source of this 1445-nucleotide long non-coding RNA. RefSeq lists it as uncharacterized. The record is from RefSeq and is a predicted model, not a curated record. NCBI's taxonomy places the organism in Eukaryota, Metazoa, Arthropoda, Insecta, Diptera, Glossinidae. The transcript has 3 exons.
UUUUAAAUUAAAUCUCUUUGCAAUUUACAGAUCAUGUACGUGAAUUCAAUUGCGGUAAACUUUACUAUCGGACUUUUCAAUUGGACGAUGAGCGGGACUCGCUUUAUGUGGGAGCCAUGGAUCGCAUAUUUCGUUUAAGCCUGAAAAAUAUAUCAUCAUCAACAUGUGAUCGUGAUGUGAUUAAUUUGGAGCCAACACGAGAUGAUGUUGUUAGCUGUGUAUCAAAAGGCAAAAGUCAGGUAAAAGUUAGAACCUUUGUGUGUGUAGUGUAUAUUUCUAAAAAAAUUGAUAAAAAAAAAAAAUAAAUAAAUAAAAAUACAUAUCAAAUCAUACAACAGCGUAUCUACGUGAGCACAUCAUCACUAUCAUCCUUAUUUUCUCCGUCAUCGUGUGAACUUAUAUGCGCGCACACGUUAAGUAUCAUCCAAUGCAUAAUAAAACAAUUUGUAGUAUAUUGUAAGUAAUCAGCUUAAGAAAAUGCACUCAUUCACUAGCUCUCUCUCUCUUAUAUCCAUCCAUCCAUCCAUCUAUCUAUCUAUCUAUCUAUCUAUCUAUCUGGAGCAAUAGGUUAUAUAAAGAAAAGUACAAACAAAAGCAUUUUCUAUAUAUGGGUUCAUAGUUUGAAUUUAAAGAUAACGAUGAAGGAAACCUUUACGUGCAAUCAACUCUCAAAGAAAAUCUAUAUUACGCUUAUAAAGCAAUAUGAAAGUAUAUUUAAUAUUACUGUAAAACAUCAAUAGGAUUUAUGGUAUGGAGGAAAUCUGUAUUAUACGGAUAGAGAAAAAAAAAAACGAAAUUCUUGCAUUUAAGGAAAUAAGUAUUCUUUUAGAGAAGCGGAUAAGAAUGCUCCUUAGGCAAAUUACUCAACAUUUGCAUUUCAUUCAAUUGAAGAGUGUUCCUCGAAUACGGCAAACUUGUAAGAACAUUGACUUUAUGAAGAGAGUUUGGUUUUCUUUCCUUUAUCACACAGAUCUUUCAGCACCGGUUGCUCAGUGCACCUCAAGCUCAAGCUCAAGCUCAAACUCAAAGUGAACAUCUAAUGUGUGUGUGUGUGUGUGUGUGUGUGCUAGAAGGAGAAACCUUCAAAAGAUACUUCUAGACCGGAUCAGCAUCAUGGUCCCGUUUACUGAAACCAACACCCCCGGGCGAACCACCGGUAAGCGUUAUAUCGUGGGGGCUGACUGCGGUUUUAUAUUCCACUUCCCUGCCUCUCCAACUGCCGUAAUUCAUGCAGCAUCUUUGUCGCAUAUUUAUGUAAGUGGUAUGAGCGACAAACAAUGAAUUGAAUCUGAAAUGUCCAACAUUAUGUAGAAGUUGAAAAACCUGAUCCGAGAGCCACAAAGCUGCCCUCUAUUAUUAUUAUUAAUAUUUUUAUCUCGAGCCAAACUAAUCAACAAUAAUGUUAAAGGCAUCCAGAGACAAUCAAUUAUUUGCAAAAAAUUUGU